GGGUUUGUGUAAUGUAAGUCGCUUUGGAUAAAAGCGUCUGCUAAAUGACAUGUA
Molecule: regulatory RNA element, 54 nt
Organism: Gasterosteus aculeatus (three-spined stickleback)
Lineage: Eukaryota; Metazoa; Chordata; Actinopteri; Perciformes; Gasterosteidae
Rfam family: UnaL2 LINE 3' element
About the family: The eel long interspersed element (LINE) UnaL2 and its partner short interspersed element (SINE) share a conserved 3' tail containing a stem-loop that is critical for their retrotransposition. Presumably, the first step of retrotransposition is the recognition of their 3' tails by UnaL2-encoded reverse transcriptase. The solution structure of a 17-nucleotide RNA derived from the 3' tail of UnaL2 was determined by NMR.
Source: Rfam